AAGAAAUUAGUUAACUAUUCCAUAACAGUAGUAUGUCAUACUAAAAUUAUUAAUAUUAUUAAUAUUUCUUU
This 71-nucleotide transfer RNA is filed under the name Carrikerella sp. RNAcentral describes it as "tRNA-Asp". The record is from RNAcentral. Lineage: Eukaryota; Metazoa; Arthropoda; Insecta; Mantodea; Thespidae.